This 42-nucleotide transfer RNA is filed under the name Emiliania huxleyi. RNAcentral describes it as "partial tRNA". The record is from RNAcentral. Lineage: Eukaryota; Haptophyta; Isochrysidales; Noelaerhabdaceae.
UGCCUUACAAGCAGGUGGUCACAGGUUCGAAUCCUGUACCGC